GUCACUCGCCCUAGCCGAGUUUUGGAGGGGGAUCCGAUUUUCUCAACCUCAAUUAAUUCUUCCGUCGCUUCUGGGGAAGAGGAGUCAGGCGCUUAGGGAUUUUUUUCUGGCUCCUCUCUUGCUUGCCUCUUUUCCGUCGGCUGUGCGGUAUGUGAGGGCUCCGAAUGUAGCCGAGCACAUUUAGCAUUCUUGUGGUCGGUGCUGCUGAAUAUGGGGAAUUUAAGGUGUGACAGAGAGCAGUGUUUUGUGCAGCAGAGAUUCACCUUGCCAAGGUGGACCCUGACAGCCUACAGCAAAUAACAAAUAAUGGCUUUCACUCGAGGUAACCAAGUGUAGUCCACAGGCCACAGCACAGUUGGACUGUAUUCUUCAUGCUCUGUCACUCUGCUUGACGGUUAGUUGUGUUGACUUGUGUUGCUCAGGAUUGGAGUUUGGCACAACUACAGCUGGUUCAUUCAAGUGGUCUCUGUCUCUCUUGCUCUCUCUCACACACACAGGUCCACACACUGGCUUUAAUGAAAAUUCUGGCUCUUUAUCAAGAAUGAAGUGGUGAACCUGCAACAUCAUCCACUCUAGUGAUGAAUGGGCUUUUAGAAGACACUCUCCCUUCUGUCUCGGGAAAUCAACAGGGCGUACUUGACAAGCAGAGGGAAAGAACUUAUUUCAGUCAUGUAAGUGCGCUCCAUUGCCGAAUCUCCACGACAUAAUCGAAUUUGUGGCAGUUAAUAAGUGCUAUUCAUCAGAUGGGGAUUGGGGGUGGACUCAGUAUUUACCUAGCUGGAAUAACACUUCAGCCCGGGCCGAGCAGCCUGCCUCCGAGUGUUGUUUUAGCAAGGUUUUUGCUGCUCGGGUUAUGUGAGAGCCACUGUCUCUUCUCCAAACGUGGCCGGAGAGCUUUUCUUCGGGCCCCUGAGCCUGGGCCUUGUGUUUUGCUUGGCAGACGGGGGCAUAGUCAGCUGGCCUGCACAUUCUGGAAGCAGAGCUGAUGCUGUUAAAGCACCUUCUUUUCCUUCGAAGGGACGGUGUGAGGAAGAAAGAGGCGAGGGGCUGUUAACUUGGCCUCUUCAUUGUAGCACACAAACACCUUCAGCUGUGGCCAGCUGCCACACGUUCGCAAUUUUCUUCUGUGCUGCAUUCGCUUCACCCCCCAAAAAAAGGGAGAGAAUAAAGGAGCAAGAUGAAUAGACGCUCAGCAUACUCCAAAGGACACAGGAGUGACCUUUGCCUUUCAUUCUAGGUCAGCUUUCUCCAUUAAGGCAUUUUAGGUCUUUUGAUCUUCAUCUUCUGUAUCAUCCAUUUGCUGCCCUGGGUAGUCAUACAAAUGCUGCUUAUAUGUCAAGCCCAGUGAGUAAAAGAAAGAGUUCCCUUUAUUUAUCUAUAAUCCAUGCCGUUUCUUGUUACAAGUGAUAUAUGCAGUGACAUAGGACCCCCGAGCUACAAGGAGCCCUGUAUAUUGUCACGAUUGGGACAAACCCAUGUAUCUUUGUUUUUGUAUUUUUUUUUUUUACUUAAUUUAGAAACACCCUUUACCCUUUGUGCGAGAUUUUCAUAAUGAACGGAACAAUAGAAAUGGUCCAAAUUUAAAAUAUCUUUUUGCAUUAAAUUCCAUUAUAAGAUUUUGUUCUGACAACGACGAUAUAUUCAUAUUAUUGUAUAUUAACAUUUAUUUUAUUAUUUUUUAUUGUCUGUGUCAAUCAUUGUGAUACUGGCAUUGUUUAAUUGUGAUUGAUGUGGUUAAUGUAGAACUAUGCAUGUUGUGGAAAAUGCUUUUCUUUUUGAUUCAUUAAUUGAUUACAUUGUAAAUAUCCAUACAUUGUAGGCUAGUGUUUUAAAGAAAUGUUUGGAAUUAAAUGGGCCUACUCAGUGCUAUAUUUGACCAUUUCUUCUCUACUCGCAUAUACCAGUUUGAUAUAUACCAGUUUCAUAUUAGCUCUGCGUCUGCUAACGAUUACUUGAACAAAGGAACAGUACGUUUUGUAGUCUGUAGUUUGAAUGAUGGAGACUGCUAGAUUACAGCUCUAGUGGUAGAUUACUACACUGAUUGGCUUGACCGUGUUCAAAGUGUUUUUCAUAGCUAAGACUAUGCAUCAAGAACUACGGCCACAUCUGUAGUCCUGUACAAAAUGUUCAAACCAGAUGACUAGAUACAUAUUUCUUAUGCAUAGAUUAAUGAACUGAAUAUGAUUAGAACAGAUAGUAGGCUUGUUGCCAGUAACAUAUACACUCACUGGCCACUUUAUUAGUACUCUUACCUUGUAUCUACACACAUUUUCUAUUUUAUCAGGCCCACUUACUGGACAGGUCCACAUACUAUAGUCCUAAAAGUGCAGAUUGUAGUCUAGCUGUUUCUUUGUAUAAUUUAUUGUUCUUGUUUUUAACACCAUUCAUCAAGGGUCAGGAACCCCCCCAAAGACAACCAUGGAGCAGUUAUUAUUUGGGUGGUGGAUCAUUCUCAGUGCUGCAGUUAGAGUGGUAUGAGUGAUAUGUUGGUAUUUGUUGCAGUGGUGUAAGUGUUUCAGACACAGCGUGUUGCUGGAGUUUUUUGUGUGUAUCUUUUGCUGCACAGUUUUGAUGUUAGUCAUCAUCUAGUCCUUCAUUAGUGGUCAGUUUCUAGCCACUGUACAGUCUAGAAUGGAUAUUUUGUUUGUUGAACUUAUUUUCAGUCCAGCAGGGACACUGAGUUGUUUAAAAACUCUAUUAGCACAGCUGUGUGAGCCGAAUUGUGCAGCUAUGUGGUAAGAAGACCUGAUAAAAUGGUUAAUUAGUGUAGAUACAAUGAGUGGACCAAAUAAAGUAGCCAUGUCUCCCCGGCUGUUUGUGUGGGUUUCCUCAGGGUACUCCGGUUUCCUCCCACAGCCAAAUACAUGCAGUCAGACCAAUUGGACAUGCUAAAUUGCCCCUAAGUGUGAAUGUGUGUGUGGAUGUUUUUGUCUGUCUGUCUGUCUGCGAUGGAUUGGUGACCUGUCCUAUCCUGCCUUCUGCCCAAUGACCGCUGGGAUAGGCUCCAGAACUCACAACCCAGAAGGAUAAGUGGUUUAGAAAGUGUGCGUGUGUGUGUACAACAAUGUCUGGCAUCAAGGUGCCAUAUUUGUAGCCAUUUCAUUUAAUAACUUUAUGUGAGGUAGCUUGUAGAGAUAUUAAAUGCUUUAAAUCUCUUGUUCCUAUCACCACUUUUAUGA
Molecule: long non-coding RNA, 3179 nt
Organism: Colossoma macropomum (tambaqui)
Lineage: Eukaryota; Metazoa; Chordata; Actinopteri; Characiformes; Serrasalmidae
Exons: 3
Source: RefSeq, a predicted model, not a curated record